AUACUUACCUGGCGUAAGGGAUACCGUGAUCAUGCAGGCGGUUCCCCCAGGGCGAAGCUGCUCCAUUGCACAGCGGAGCGGGGUUGAUCCUUGCGAUCAUCCCUAAUGCGGAUAACUCGGACGCGUAAUUUUAUAUAAAUCAUUGUGAA
Bombyx mori (domestic silkworm) is the source of this 149-nucleotide non-coding RNA. NCBI's taxonomy places the organism in Eukaryota, Metazoa, Arthropoda, Insecta, Lepidoptera, Bombycidae. The record is from Rfam.